UUUGACCUCGGAUCAGGUAGGGAUACCGCCUGAACUAAA
RNAcentral lists this ribosomal RNA (39 nucleotides) under Parmotrema tinctorum. RNAcentral describes it as "partial 28S ribosomal RNA". Lineage: Eukaryota; Fungi; Ascomycota; Lecanoromycetes; Lecanorales; Parmeliaceae. The record is from RNAcentral.